CGGCCUGGUAAAUGCCCGGGUAAAUCGGACAGCUCAACUGUUCGAAUUCCGGGUAGACUGCCAGGCUUGGGACCGGGAGAGGCUGGAGGUACUCCGGGGGUAGGGGUGAAAUCCUGUAAUCCCUGGGGGACCACCGGUUGCGAAGGCGUCCAGCUAGAACGGAUCCGACGGUGAGGGACGAAGCCUCGGGGAGCAAACCGGAUUAGAUACCCGGGUAGUCCGAGGUGUAAACGCUGCGGGCUUGGUGUCGGGGAUCCUGCGUGGGUACCCGGUGCCGGAGUGAAGACGUUAAGCCCGCCGCCUGGGGA
Molecule: ribosomal RNA, 308 nt
Filed under: uncultured archaeon
Lineage: Archaea
Description: bacterial SSU rRNA
Rfam family: Archaeal small subunit ribosomal RNA
Source: RNAcentral